CGGCCGCAGAGUUUGAUCAUGGCUCAGAACGAACGCUGGCGGCGUGGAUAAGACAUGCAAGUCGAGCGCUGAUUCAAGGGUAGCAAUAUUCUUGAGUCGGAGCGGCGCAAGGGUGCGUAACACGUGGGUAAUUUGCCAUGAAGUCUGGAAUAACUUGCUGAAAGGCGAGCUAAUGCCGGAUGUGACUUCCGAAGGGCAUCUUUUGGAAUUCAAAGUUGGGGACCGUAAGGCCUGACGCUUCUUGAUAAGCCCGCGGUCUAUCAGCUAGUUGGUGAGGUAACGGCUCACCAAGGCUAAGACGGAUAGCUGGUCUGAGAGGGCGACCAGCCACACUGGAACUGAGACACGGUCCAGACACCUACGGGUGGCAGCAGUCGAGAAUUUUUCACAAUGGGCGAAAGCCUGAUGGAGCGACGCCGCGUGGGGGAUGAAUGGCUUCGGCCCGUAAACCCCUGUCAUUUGCGAACAAACCUUACCGGUUAACAACCGGUGAGCUGAUUGUAGCGGAAGAGGAAGGGACGGCUAA
RNAcentral lists this ribosomal RNA (526 nucleotides) under uncultured Verrucomicrobiota bacterium. Its description in RNAcentral is "bacterial SSU rRNA". It matches the Rfam family "Bacterial small subunit ribosomal RNA", at positions 1 to 500 of the family's 1533-position model. The record is from RNAcentral. Lineage: Bacteria; Pseudomonadati; Verrucomicrobiota.